AACUUUGAGUAGUAGAUCAUUCGGCUCGUGUGUCGAUGAAGAAUGCAGUCAACUUUAUGAAUAAAUAUAAACUGCAUACCGCUAUGAACAUCGACAUCUUGAACGUAUAUUUUGCCUACGAGUUAUCCUGUAGCCAAGUCUAUCUGAUGGUCC
Molecule: ribosomal RNA, 153 nt
Filed under: Trichobilharzia regenti
Lineage: Eukaryota; Metazoa; Platyhelminthes; Trematoda; Strigeidida; Schistosomatidae
Description: 5.8S ribosomal RNA
Rfam family: 5.8S ribosomal RNA
About the family: 5.8S ribosomal RNA (5.8S rRNA) is a component of the large subunit of the eukaryotic ribosome. It is transcribed by RNA polymerase I as part of the 45S precursor that also contains 18S and 28S rRNA. Functionally, it is thought that 5.8S rRNA may be involved in ribosome translocation.
Source: Rfam by way of RNAcentral